RNAcentral lists this ribosomal RNA (472 nucleotides) under uncultured bacterium. RNAcentral describes it as "partial 16S ribosomal RNA". It matches the Rfam family "Bacterial small subunit ribosomal RNA", at positions 28 to 507 of the family's 1533-position model. The record is from RNAcentral.
GACGAACGCUGGCGGCGUGCUUAACACAUGCAAGUCGAACGAUGAACCCGGAGCUUGCUCUGGGGGAUUAGUGGCGAACGGGUGAGUAACACGUGAGUAACCUGCCCUGGACUCUGGGAUAAGCGUUGGAAACGACGUCUAAUAACGGAUAGGACCUUGGAUCGCAUGAUCUGGGGUGGAAAGUUUUUUCGGUCUGGGAUGGACUCGCGGCCUAUCAGCUUGUUGGUGAGGUAAUGGCUCACCAAGGCGUCGACGGGUAGCCGGCCUGAGAGGGUGACCGGCCACACUGGGACUGAGACACGGCCCAGACUCCUACGGGAGGCAGCAGUGGGGAAUAUUGCACAAUGGGCGAAAGCCUGAUGCAGCAACGCCGCGUGCGGGAUGACGGCCUUCGGGUUGUAAACCGCUUUUAGUAGGGAAGAAGGGCUUCGGCUUGACGGUACCUGCAGAAAAAGGACCGGCUAACUACGUG